CCUACGGGCGGCAGCAGUGGGGAAUAUUGCUCAAUGGGGGAAACCCUGACGCAGCAACGCCGCGUGAGGGAUGAAGGUUUUCGGAUUGUAAAGUCCUUUUGGUAGGGAAGAUAAUGACGGUAUCUAACGAAUAAGCACCGGCUAACUCCGUGCCAGCAGCCGCGGUAAUACGGAGGGUGCAAGGGUUACUCGGAAUCACUGGGCGUAAAGAGCGCGUAGGCGGGAUAGCAAGUCAGAUGUGAAAGCCUAUGGCUUAACCAUAGAACUGCAUUUGAAACUGUUCUUCUAGAGUAUGGGAGAGGUAGGUGGAAUUCCUGGUGUAGGGGUAAAAUCCGUAGAGAUCAAGAGGAAUACUCAUUGCGAAGGCGACUUGCUAGAACAUAACUGACGCUGAGGCGCGAAAGCGUGGGGAGCAAACAGGAUUAGAUACCCUUGUAGUC
This 440-nucleotide ribosomal RNA is filed under the name uncultured bacterium. RNAcentral's name for it is "partial 16S ribosomal RNA". It matches the Rfam family "Bacterial small subunit ribosomal RNA", at positions 338 to 795 of the family's 1533-position model. The record is from RNAcentral.